GCUAGCUCGCGUUAGCACGAUGAAGGACUCCAGAGGUCGUCAGGGUCCAAAGAAACUAAACGUUGGAGGUUUAACACUGAUUGAUCGGGAAACGGCGGAUUGUCCUAUUGAUCACGUGACAAUCAUCACAGGAGAACAUCUAAACAGGGUUACGUGAUGACGUCAUAGUAGUGAUGUAGUUGAUGAACUAAUGAUGUUGGUGCUUCUGUCACAGCUGGAGACUUUAUAGUGACUCAUCGUUUGGCUUUAGGGUUCUGAUUGUAUUCUUUUUAAUUCAAGUGUAAAAAACGUUCUCAGGAUGUUCCGUUAGAUUCUGAAGUCAUCGCUGAUUUAGUUUCAAAGUAACAUCUGAAACUAUAAAUACUGUAGUAAAUUGGUUUGUAGAUGUUGUGGAAUCGUUGCUCUGUGGUUCUUUCAGUGACCCUAGGACCUAAAUCAGGUACUUUACUAGCCCUUCUUCAGGGUUCCUCACAGGUUCUUUCAGUCUGACUAGAACCUAAAUCAGGGUUCUUUACGAACUCUUCCCCAGGGUUCCUCACAGGUUCUUUCAGUGAGGCUAGAACCUAAAUCAGGGUUCUUUACGACCUCCUCCCCAUGGUUCCUCACGGGUUCUUUCAGUGAGGCUAGAACCUAAAUCAGGGUUCUUUACGACCUCCUCCCCAUGGUUCCUCACGGGUUCUUUCAGUGAGACUAGAACCUAAAUCAGGGUUCUCUAAUAGCUGUUCUCGAGGGUUCCUUUGAGGUUCUUUCAGUCAGAUUACAGUGUUCCUUGGGGAACGCUUGUCUGGAAACGUUUAAAGAACCAUAGAACCGGAACACCGGGAUGGUGUCUGAAGGUUACCGGAGAAUGUCACUCACAACGGUGAAUGAAUCUAAUAUGAUGUGUCCGCUAACGCCGUUAAAACAGCACGAGGUCGUUAGAAUAACCGUCCUAUCUAACGUCGCUCCGUGAGAAGAUGAAACAAGAGGAAAUCCCGCCGCCGUCUGUCGCCGGUGAAGAACCGGAGAUUAAAGCGCCGAUUUAUCUCCGUUGAGUAUUGAACCCUGAGAACCCAGAUAACCCUCCAGAUCUUUAAUGGUUACGAGAUCCUUCUGGAACCCUGAGGACUCUGGCAAGGCUCUAGAACCCUGGGAACCCUGAGAACCUUCCAGAUCCCUAAGUGCUAUGAGAACC
Gasterosteus aculeatus aculeatus (three-spined stickleback) is the source of this 1174-nucleotide long non-coding RNA. The record is from Ensembl. Lineage: Eukaryota; Metazoa; Chordata; Actinopteri; Perciformes; Gasterosteidae.